This is an RNA transcript of Kogia breviceps (pygmy sperm whale), 1003 nucleotides long. It is a transcript of the gene named small integral membrane protein 20, with no coding region annotated. The record is from RefSeq and is a predicted model, not a curated record. NCBI's taxonomy places the organism in Eukaryota, Metazoa, Chordata, Mammalia, Artiodactyla, Physeteridae.
GCAACUCCUCCUCUUCCGAGCGGGGUCACGAUACCGCCGGCGGGAUCCGGGUUUCCGAGAGUGAGGGCUGCUCGGCGGGUCAGGGCGGCCACGGGCUGGAGCCAUGACCUCGAACCUGCGCACCGCGCUCAUUUUCGGCGGCUUCAUCUCCCUGAUCGGCGCCGCCUUCUACCCCAUCUACUUCCGGCCCCUAAUGCGGCUGGAGGAAUACCAUGGGGAAACUGAGGCUCAGCGAGGUUGUUCAACAUGCCCCAGGACACACAGCUAAGAAGGAACAAGCCAUAAAUCGAGCUGGUAUUGUCCAAGAAGACGUGCAGCCACCAGGGUUAAAAGUGUGGUCGGAUCCAUUUGGCAGGAAAUAAAAAGGCUAUCACCACCUCUGAUUAUGAAAGUAGAGAGUCUUCAUGCUUUCAGUUCUGCAGCAAGUACAAUAAAUCACCUGGCUAAAGAAUGAUGGCUGGAGAAGAAAACUCUAGAAGGCUGUAAAGAAGAGUAGUGUGCACCAGGAUUAAUUCCCUUCUUAAGUAUCAAAAGAACCCUGAAACAAAUCACACCAUUACGAAGGUUUUCAUGAUUUGGUUUCCUUUCUAAAAAUGAAACUUUCUCACCCAGCUGCAUUUGGAGGUGAUCUACUUAUUAUUCAGUCUCUACCUCUUACCCACCUGAGCUGUGAUAUGAAUACAAGCAACCAGUAGACUUGGGAAGAUCCUAGUCUGUUUUGCCAUCUUCCAAAUAAGAAGUUUCAGUGAAAACCCACCAUAUUGAGCAGCCUCAUAGGGGGUCUUUGAAAACGUUAAAGUUGAUAAAACUCUUUGGGGACAAGGUACAUUGUACUCUUUAAGAAUAAAGAGUUCAACUCAGCUAUCUCAUUGGGAGGGUUGCUGCAUUUUGAAAAAUAAAUAACUAUGAAGCAAAUCAAACUAAAUAGGUAUGCAUGCCUAGUAGAAAUCAUGUUGAAUUAACUGAGUGAAAAUGUGUAUAUUAAAAUGAUUUCUUUUUACUU